Molecule: non-coding RNA, 270 nt
Organism: Cinara cedri
Lineage: Eukaryota; Metazoa; Arthropoda; Insecta; Hemiptera; Aphididae
Source: the annotation of a GenBank genome assembly
CGGUGCAUAAACGUGUAAACGUCAGGUCUUUCAACUCUAGAAAAUGCUACACACUAUUCUCCAUGUAAGGUAAUUGUAAUAAUAGUUAUUUUUCAAAUCUACACCGUAAUAAGUUAAAGUCUGACCUUGCGCUUUGUUUAUUGACAUUGCAAAACAAACUUUUAUUGAAAACUGAACUAAACUGGAAAAUCAUUAGGGUUUUUCUCCCUUAGCACAUCCGGUCAAAAUUUCUGCUUCAAUUACAUCUUUUGUAAGAGAGGUGAAACGGAA